GCUAGAUUCAAACAUGGCCCUCCCCACACCCAGCCUCCUCCCCAUGCUGGGGUCCCCUUACCUCUGAACUGAGCUUGGCGCGUGAGCCGAAGGUGCCAGGUGGGCAAGGCUGGGGCACAGCUGAGCCCCUGGGGCAGUAGUGUCCUUGAGGACAUGGGCCAGUCCCCUCUGGAACAGAGAGACAAGUCAGCCUGGCCCCCGGGAAGUGCAGGAACUUAACCUGCCGUCUGGAGCUAGACUUUUGCCUGAUGUUUGCUGGACAAAUGAAAGUGUUCAAGAAGAGGGAUUUUAAGGGCCCUGGCCCAGGUUCAACGCCCUCACCAGAGCUCAGUGCUGUGUGCCCCUCAUCAGAUGUUCCCCAGGAAAUGCGAGCACCCUCUGGGGAAAGGUCAGCAGCCACUAGAGGGAGCCAGACAUCCUGGACGGCCCUCCGCCCCACCUGUGCCUUGCUGGGCACACAGAGGCUCUGCCCUGUGAGCCUCUUCUUGCACCCCGCCUCCCCACAAGCUGUUGUCCCUGCCCCCAAGGGAGACGAGGUUCACACUCAGCUCACUUCUGGCUGGCCCACUGGGCACCAUUCUGGUACCUGCUGACUGGUCUCUGGAAGACCCCCGGGCCUCCCUGCCCACCUCCCUGCCAGUCUGUGAUGUCCCAUCUUGAAGCCAGUGCAGCUCUGAUUCAGGAUGGACGGGGUGGGAGCUGCUGGUGUGACAAGAGCCCGAUAACUGCAGGGCAGGAGGGCAGGGGGUCACGCUGUGAGCAGCCAUGUGGAGGCCUGAGGAUGGGGGCCAAUGGGUCCAGGAAUAGCGGCCAGACCACUAAACACUCUGGCUAAGGGUCACCUCUAGGCCCCCUUGCCCACGUGCUUCCCCUCUGUCCUGAGACCACCCCAUACUCAGUCACUUCCCAUCAUCCAAGUGCCCGUCUACCUCCGGCCUCUGGCCAAUGCAGGGCCCACUCCUGUCCUGAGAGGCCUUACCUGUUGGGGUUGGGGAAGAGACUGCCACCAGACAGAAGUAGCCAGGGGAGCAGGGUGCAGAGGGGGCAGCAAGGCCAGACACACCACAGAAAUGGCCAGAGGGGCAGGGUAGGCACUCUGAGGCCGUGGAGAGAAGCAUCCUGGGACACAGAGAGCGAGUGCGGGUCAGUGGGAAAGGAGGCCCUUAGGGUAGAGAGGCUAUGUCCCGGCGAGAGACCCGCCCUUCUGGGGCUGCCUUCUCAUUUCUCCUUGUUGAGGCUCCCUGGGCUUCCUCGCGCUCCCAUGCGCGGUCCAAGGUGGCGUCUGGGUGUGCUGGGUCUCUCUCUCCUAAGAUAGGCUCCUGGUUAGUUUCCUUGUCAUCUUAAUCCCCAGUUCAGAGUCAGGCUGUCCAGGGCCGCAGACCCCUGGUCUGGCAGCUGCAGUCAGAAUGUCCAGCAGCCUUUCAGCCACGGGUUCCUCAGCUGCCUCAUUCUGCGGUGCCCUUGCUUGGGGGUUGGGCAGUUCCUAAAGGUGGGAGAUGGGGCUCUACUCUCAAAUGAGGUGCAGGCAGACACACAGGCUUCUUCCUGGUUUGCUCCUCAGGCCUGACACGUUCUCAAGCGGCCAGCAGCCAGCACCGUCUGCCCUGAUUCUGACCAUCGUGCUCCCCGUCCCUCCGCUGCUGCUCAGGGGGUUCCUGCCCUUGGAGGCCAGGCAGAAGUCCUGCUCUCUGAGGUCCAUGUUCCUCCAUGGCGGAGGGACAUCAUUGGUGAGACAGAUAGAUGGUCACUGUGGGAAGGAAGACCAGGAAGACUGCCCCUUGGACCUGGGGCAGUGGCACUCACCGAUCUGAGAAGGUGCCCACAGGGCAGGGCAGGGGCACCCCCGUGCCCUCUGGACAGAAGUGGCCUGGAGGGCAGGGCCCCCCUGCCGUGCCACAAAAGGCUCCAUGGGAGUGGGUGACAUCAGCUCCUGCCCAAAGUCAGGAGGGGGUGAGGUCACAGAGCAACUCCUCCUCAGCCCAAAGCCCCCACCUCGACCCCCCUCAACCACAGGACGUUUCCUGGAGAUUGAAAACUGGAGUGACAGCACCCUCCACUGCCAGGGUGGCGCUCAAGUCCAGGGUGCCACCCAAUCCUCACCUCCAAGGGACUUUGGGUGGGGCUCCAGGUGCAGGGUGGACCCUGAGAUGGGUCCCCGUCUGAAUUAAUUAGAGGUUAUCUGAGUGGGCCUUAGGACCCCAAAGGUGGGGAGAAAGUACAGGGGUGCCAGCAUUUGGCCUAUCUGGGUACAGGGCAGAACAGGAGAGUCUGGAGGUCAAAUGCAGGCCCCCACAAUGUUUGUUUUGGAAACCUGUUCCUAUCUUGGCCAAGUCUGUCAUUUUUAUUUCUGCUGUCAGGUCCCCUUACAGUUUGCUGAAACCCUUUUGGGAUGAGAUGGGGCACAUAAUGAUACUGAUAAUAAGCUCUAAGGACAAGUGCUUUGUCUGGGAAGAGAAAAGAGAGAGGAGUGUGUGAUCCCAUUUUUGUGACUGCCCCCAAACGGGCUGACCCGUCUGUGGAAGCACGUGCGCGCACACGUACGCAGGUGCGAGCCUAGGACAUGUGUGGUGCCCCGCGCAAAUGCAUGUUGCCCCUCCUAAGCAGACUAUGGAGACGGGAAGACGAGGGCAGAGUGACGCAUCUUUAAACGUCUGUGAUCUUGCAGUUUGCGUCAAAGUCAUCUCCACAGCCCUAAGGACACUGAUGUGACAAGGGAGGGGUGAGAGUUCACCUCACUUUACGGGCCCUCUUGGGACAUGGGAGGGCUGGGAGGGGGCCGGGCCCAACAACCUCAUCCCUGGUGUGUCCUGAACCUGUCAGAGGAGCAGAUGUGCCGCCUGGCAGCGGCUUUGGGCUGGCGUUCGCCCCACGGGGCAGUCCCGGAGCUCCACACGUGAGCUGCGUCCCAGCCCCAUCCACAGAGACCCUGCAGGAGUGGCCCUGAGGUCACACACGCAGGGCCUCAGGAGACACGGGACCUCGGCGGGCCUGGGUGGGGUAGCUCCACCAGCCAUGCCCAGUCUGGUCAUUGGAAGAAGGACAUGGUGGGAAGUCCUGUUCCCUGAGGCUCCUCCAGCCCGAAGUUCUGUGACGCCUGCUCACAGGAGCCCCCUUGUUCAGCUGCGCACCGCACAGCUCACCCCCAGAAGGUCUGCUCCUGCCGACCAGGGGAGACAGCGUGGCUGCGGAGGCCCACGGUGCCCCGACUCUCCCAGGACGGAUGGGGACAGGGCUGCCGAGGGACCCCUGCUCAGCCCUCCCCGCAGGAGGCCGGUCCCACCCUCCCGCUUCUGGGCCAGCGGCGCUGAGCCCCUUGUCUCCUGGCGGAACCUGCUCUCCCGUGUUAGGGCCCCUCCCAGCCCCCGUCAGGGUGGUGUUUAUCCCCUGGCCUUUCCUGGCGGUGCUGACUUGAUUUUCCCUCAGCACCACACGUUCCUGGACUCUUAGUAUUCCUGUCAGGCACAGGGGAACCUGAGUUGGCGAUUCCUCCCGGGAAGGAGUGGUGCCCCUGGGCUUCUGCCCAGUCCAAAAGCCCUGUCCUUAGCCACCAUCCACAGGGCCUCCCAGGCGCUGGGCCGGCAGGCGGAGGAGGUCACUAGGGAGCUGUUGCCCCUCAGGCCCCAAGACAUGGCCUUGACCUGUCUCCCCAGGAGAGCCACCAUGUGCCCGCUGUCUCCUCACCUGCAGGAGAUAGAGGCUUGGCCCAGAAAGCACAGUGGCUUUCUGGGGGUGGCCCUGCUCACCCCAUCUGUAGAUGGUUUCCACAGCAACUCUGCUCUGCUCUUGGAGCCAGCCCAAGUACCUGAGCCAUUGCCGUGCUGCCCGGCCGGUCGCGGCACAGCCACCAGUGAACCUUGAGUGCAGGCAUGGCCCUCAGGGCCAAGGUCUCCCCAGGGCCCACUGACGGGUCUUGGGGUCCGGGCUCCUCCUGGGCAAUAGAAUCCUGGAAGCAGAGAAAGACUCAGACUGGUCUGCUUUUUGGGGCUGGAGCCCAGCUGCUUGCCUCCCUUGUCCCUGAGGGUCCUGCCACACCAAUAACAGCUUUGAUGGAACAGACUCUGUGGGCGUCCCCGAUGAGCUGAUAAUUUAGGCCCCUUUAAGGCCACGUCUUCAAACAUGUGUGUGCCACCAGCAUCCUGGAGGCCCUUGGGUGCAGUCACAGUAUUGUCCCAGUCACCUUUGAAGCAGUGCUAUCUCUUGAGGAGAAGGGCCCCUCUCUUCAGGGGCUGGGAUAAUCCAAAUGGCUUGUGCACCCCCCCAUUUAGGAGCCUGAGCCAGGAGCCUCCGGCCUGCCUCCCUCCUAUCCAGCCCAGACUAGCCUCACAGCCCUGGCACACUUCCCCUGGGCUCUCUGACUCAGGGGCUGAUGCUCAGGGGCUGAGGGUCCCGGGCCCAUGCCGGCGUGGCAGGCCUGGUUGUGCCGUGCUUGGUGGUCUCCUGUCAGGCCAUCGCGGGAGGCACAGGUGCCCUUACCUGGUGCGCAUGGGCCCCCAGUUGCAGCCUGGCCCACUGCAGCACAGAAGAGCCCAGGUGGGCAGGGCAGGCACCAGCUCACAUCUGGUGCCCCUCUCUCUGCGUUCCACGUGCCAACAGGGCAGGGCCACUGCCUGGGGUCCUGGGUGCCAGCGGGGCAAAAAUGACCGAGAGGGCAGAGGUCACCAAAGGGGAGUCCCUCCUGGAGGAAGAGGGGCCUGUUGACGCUUAAGUGUCAAGAGCGAGGGAGUUCUCUUGACCGGGUUCCUCCCUGAAGCCCCUGUGCGGAGGCCGCCUGGCUCAGCCCGGCCUCUCCUGUUCGCUUACAUGCACUGAUCUGCACUGACACCUCCCUCUGGGGACCGCUCUGGGAGUUUAACGUUUCAGAAAAAUGAAACAAAUUUUAAUGUUAAAUACCCUAAACAGUCCCGACUCUCUGCCUAUCUGCUAACAGCUCUGGUACGCAGCUUCAGCUGCGGCGAAGUCCAUCUGUCUAUCAUCCACCCAGCCAUCUACCUACCUACCCAUCCAGCUUCUCUUUCUCACUACUGGCCACCCCUUCAGUCCUCUGUGUCAGGACAGUAGACCCACUUACGAUAAUAGAUACCUGGUGUCCCAUUGGGUUGAUAUGCCAUAUCUCUGCCUAGAUAUUUUCCUAUUACGGGGCCUCUGUGGUGUUUGGUGUUUUUGUUUUGUUUUUGUGUUAAAAAUCUGUGGUGUUUUGAACAUCUUUACGUAAAUGACUUUCUUUCCCCCCUCAGGUUCUCUCCAGGAAUCAUUGGAUCACAGGGUGGGAACUGCCUGGCAGCUCCUGCUGCAUCUGCCGACUGAGUCCAGCAGCCCUGGGCAGGGCAGUGGGGGAGAGGCCCUGUCCACAGCGGUGCCUUGCCAGGGCUUCCGCAGUUGCGUUUACUUUCAGUAAUGAGUAGGUGCACGUCACACAAAAGUGGCUUCGCUUCACAUGUCCUUCCUUGCCAGCCCGGCUGCGCCUUUUCCUAGUGAUAGCAGAUUUGUGUUUGGUCCUUUUUCAGGUGGGAGCCGGAAGCUGACAUUAGAACUUUGGCGCUUUCCUUACUGUCUCGUGUUUUCAUGGCCCUGUUUGAUGGCUGAGGUUCCUCCAGCUCUGCCCCUGCAGUAGUGUCAUCCUAUCUUCAGUGGGAGCUCCCUGUCACCCUUGGGCAGUGAGCCCCAGAGGGCAGGAGCUGGGCCUUCACCUUCUGGACAGGCCAGUCUGGUGGGGCAAAUCUCACAGUGCGACAGGUUGGAGAGGUUGGUGCGGUUGCUGAAGGUCCCAGGUGGGCAGGCGUGGCGGGGAGUGUGCAGACAGGAGCCCACAAGGCACACAUACCUACGACACCCAUGGAGUUGGAGCCAGACCCAUUCUUCCAAGGUGGGAGGAGACAUUGUUGAUGGUGGUGAUUGUGAAGACAACAGGAGCUCUUUGCUGAUCACUCACUAGGUGCCAAGCUCAGUGCAAGGCCCUUUCCAUAGGCUGUCUCGCCUGAUGUUCACAACAGCCUUAUGAGGCAAAUAUUACUGCCUUUCUUUUAAAGAUGAGGCUCAGAGAGGUGAAGGAACUUGCUGAUAUUACACAGUCAGUAAAUAGCAGAUCUGGGACAUCCCUUCCCUGCUCCCCACAUGGUGGUUCUCUAAGCCCCUGCUCCAGACCACUCCCGCCAAAGGCCUCCCUUGUUCCUGUGAGCACUCUCGUUCCUCACUUUAAAACUGUUCAUUUCUUUUUUUACAUGUCCUUAGUGCUGGUGGUGCCCAGCCACAUCACCCCUCUGUCUUUAUGCUCUAUGUUGUGUGCAAAUGAAUGAAAGAAACCUUAACUAAAUUGGACUUGGGAAGGCCUGUAAGGGGUGCUCUCAGCUCAUCACCCAUCCUCAAUUACACCAAACAGGAAGUACAACUACUUUACUAUGAAGGAAGAUUUUCCUCCACACCUGGCAACAGCUCAGCCAAUGAGAAAUGCUGCAGCCCAGCCAAUCAGAAACGCCACAGCUCAGCCAAUGAGAAAUGCUACAGCCCAACCCAUCAGAAACUCUACGGCCCAGCCAAUGACAAAUGCUGCAGCCCAGCCAAUCAGAAAUGCCACAGCUCAGCCAAUGAGAAAUGCUGCAGUCCAACCCAUCAGAAACUCUACAGCCCAGCCAAUGAGAAAUGCUGCAGCCCAGCCAAUCAGAAACGCCACAGCUCAGCCAAUGAGAAAUGCCACAGCUCAGCCAAUCAGAAAUGCUACAGCCCAGCCAAUGAGAAAUGCUGGAGCCCAGCCAAUGAGAAACACCACAGCUCAGCCAAUAAGAAGCCAUUUCCGCCCUGAAGUGUUACUUCCCCCAAUGGACUUUCCUUUAGAACAGCGGCUACCUACUCCCCUUCUCUAUAAAAGCAGCUCCCCUCCUUUGUUUUCUGGAUUUACCUAUGGUUUCCCAUAGCAUGCACAUCCCCAAUUGUAAUUCUUUCUGCUAUUCCUGAAUAAACUCAUUUUGAC
RNAcentral lists this long non-coding RNA (6964 nucleotides) under Equus caballus (horse). RNAcentral describes it as "lncRNA (ENSECAG00000053716.1)". The record is from RNAcentral. Lineage: Eukaryota; Metazoa; Chordata; Mammalia; Perissodactyla; Equidae.